GACCGCGUAGCUCAGUUGGAAGAGCAUUGGGCUAGUAUUCCAAAGGUCGUAGGUUCGAAUCCCACCGCGACCG
Molecule: non-coding RNA, 73 nt
Organism: Paramuricea clavata
Lineage: Eukaryota; Metazoa; Cnidaria; Anthozoa; Malacalcyonacea; Plexauridae
Source: the annotation of a GenBank genome assembly